RNAcentral lists this ribosomal RNA (1532 nucleotides) under Bacillus sp. FJAT-27245. RNAcentral describes it as "bacterial SSU rRNA". Lineage: Bacteria; Bacillati; Bacillota; Bacilli; Caryophanales; Bacillaceae. RNAcentral also lists the same sequence under 1 other name. The record is from RNAcentral.
AGAGUUUGAUCCUGGCUCAGGACGAACGCUGGCGGCGUGCCUAAUACAUGCAAGUCGAGCGGARGUUUCAAAAGCUUGCUUUUGGAACUUCAGCGGCGGACGGGKGAGUAACACGUGGGCAACCUGCCUGUAAGACUGGGAUAACUUCGGGAAACCGGAGCUAAUACCGGAUAAYCCUUUCCUUCACAUGGAGGRAAGCURAAAGACGGUUUCGGCUGUCACUUACAGAUGGGCCCGCGGCGCAUUAGCUAGUUGGUGGGGUAACGGCCCACCAAGGCGACGAUGCGUAGCCGACCUGAGAGGGUGAUCGGCCACACUGGGACUGAGASACGGCCCAGACUCCUACGGGAGGCAGCAGUAGGGAAUCUUCCGCAAUGGACGAAAGUCUGACGGAGCAACGCCGCGUGAGCGAAGAAGGCCUUCGGGUCGUAAAGCUCUGUUGUCAGGGAAGAACGAGUACCGGAGUAACUGCCGGUACCUUGACGGUACCUGACCAGAAAGCCACGGCUAACUACGUGCCAGCAGCCGCGGUAAUACGUAGGUGGCAAGCGUUGUCCGGAAUUAUUGGGCGUAAAGCGCGCGCAGGCGGCCUCUUAAGGCUGAUGUGAAAGCCCACGGCUCAACCGUGGAGGGUCAUUGGAAACUGGGGGGCUUGAGUGCAGAAGAGGAGAGCGGAAUUCCACGUGUAGCGGUGAAAUGCGUAGAGAUGUGGAGGAACACCAGUGGCGAAGGCGGCUCUCUGGUCUGUAACUGACGCUGAGGCGCGAAAGCGUGGGGAGCGAACAGGAUUAGAUACCCUGGUAGUCCACGCCGUAAACGAUGAGUGCUAAGUGUUAGAGGGUUUCCGCCCUUUAGUGCUGCAGCAAACGCAUUAAGCACUCCGCCUGGGGAGUACGGCCGCAAGGCUGARACUCAAAGGAAUUGACGGGGGCCCGCACAAGCGGUGGAGCAUGUGGUUUAAUUCGAAGCAACGCGAAGAACCUUMCCAGGUCUUGACAUCCUCUGACACUCCUGGAGACAGGACGUUCCCCUUCGGGGGACAGAGUGACAGGUGGUGCAUGGUUGUCGUCAGCUCGUGUCGUGAGAUGUUGGGUUAAGUCCCGCAACUAGCGCAACCCUUGAUCUUAGUUGCCAGCAUUCAGUUGGGCACUCUAAGGUGACUGCCGGUGACAAACCGGAGGAAGGUGGGGAUGACGUCAAAUCAUCAUGCCCCUUAUGACCUGGGCUACACAYGUGCUACAAUGGAUGGUACAAAGGGCAGCGAAGCCGCGAGGUGAAGCCAAUCCCAUAAAACCAUUCUCAGUUCGGAUUGCAGGCUGCAACUCGCCUGCAUGAAGCCGGAAUCGCUAGUAAUCGCGGAUCAGCAUGCCGCGGCGAAUACGUUCCCGGGCCUUGUACACACCGCCCGUCACACCACGGGAGUUUGUAACACCCGAAGUCGGUGGGGUAACCGCAAGGAGCCAGCCGCCUAAGGUGGGACAGAUGACUGGGGUGAAGUCGUAACAAGGUAGCCGUAUCGGAAGGUGCGGCUG